Molecule: ribosomal RNA, 253 nt
Filed under: uncultured bacterium
Lineage: Bacteria
Description: partial 16S ribosomal RNA
Rfam family: Bacterial small subunit ribosomal RNA
Source: RNAcentral
UACAGGGGGGGCAAGCGUUGCUCGGAAUUACUGGGCGUAAAGGGCUCGUAGGCGGCCAACUAAGUCAGACGUGAAAUCCCUCGGCUUAACCGGGGAACUGCGUCUGAUACUGGAUGGCUUGAGUUCGGGAGAGGGAUGCGGAAUUCCAGGUGUAGCGGUGAAAUGCGUAGAUAUCGAGAGGAACACCGGCGGCGAAGGCGGCCAACUGGACGAAUACUGACGCUGAGACACGAAAGCGUGGGGAGCAAACAGG